Molecule: long non-coding RNA, 481 nt
Organism: Microtus oregoni (creeping vole)
Lineage: Eukaryota; Metazoa; Chordata; Mammalia; Rodentia; Cricetidae
Exons: 4
Source: RefSeq, a predicted model, not a curated record
UUCUGGGUAUAAAGGCAGCUGGGAAAGGGGGUCUUGGGUGUUGGAGACUCUGGCCUGACUGUGAAGAAGAGUCUUACUGGAGGUGUUAGUUACCGCCUCCAGGGUGGUGGUCAGAGGAGAUGCCUGCAUCUCAUGGCAGUCAGAACCUCUGUGGCCUCCCGGAGAGUGUACAUUUGGACAAGUGCUGAGGGCUUUGUGGCAGGAAAACAAAUGAACCUUUCCCAAACAAAAGAAGACAAAUAAAUGGCUUAAGAGGAACCUAGAAAAUCCAUGCCACAGUGACCAGCUGUGCACCAUGACACUGGCUGUAAUCCCAGCACUUGGUGAUGGAGGGACCAGGGAUGGAAUUCAGGAUCUCUUGAAGGCUAAGUACAAGCUCUACUAACUGAUCCAAGAGGCCAGAGACCCUAUCUGCUUAACCACUGGUGUGUGCUCAGAGUAUCUUGGAGUAUGCAGAAGGUGCUCAACAGUGCUCAGCAAG